Molecule: ribosomal RNA, 1471 nt
Filed under: uncultured bacterium
Lineage: Bacteria
Description: bacterial SSU rRNA
Rfam family: Bacterial small subunit ribosomal RNA
Source: RNAcentral
GCCUAACACAUGCAAGUCGAACGACAAAGUGGAGCAAUCCAUGAGUAGAGUGGCGUACGGGUGAGUAACACGUGGCUAACCUUCCUUCGAGUGGGGAAUAACCUCGGGAAUCCAGGGCUAAUACCGCAUAACAUCUCCGGGUGAAACUCCCGUUGAUCAAAGGGGUAAGACGCUUGAAGAGGGGGUCGCGGCUGAUUAGUUAGUUGGCGGGGUAAUGGCCCACCAAGACGAUGAUCAGUAUCCGGCCUGAGAGGGCGCACGGACACAUUGGGACUGAAACACGGCCCAAACUCCUACGGGAGGCAGCAGUGGGGAAUUUUGCGCAAUGGGGGAAACCCUGACGCAGCAACGCCGCGUGGAGGAUUAAGUCCCUUGGGAUGUGAGCUCCUUUCGACAGGGAAGAAACUGACGGUACCUGUAGAAGAAGCCCCGGCUAACUUCGUGCCAGCAGCCGCGGUAAUACGAGGGGGGCAAGCGUUGUUCGGAAUUAUUGGGCGUAAAGGGUGCGUACGCUGUGCGGUAAGUCAUCUGUGAAAACUCUGGGCUCAACCCAGAGCCUGCAGGCGAUACUGCCGUGCUGGAGUAUGUGAGACGUGCGUGCAAUUCCUGUUGUAGCCGCGAAAUGCGUCGAUAUCGUGAGGAACAUCUGUCGCGAAAGCCGCGCAGUGGACUAUUACUGACGCUGAUGCGCGAGAGCUAGUGGAGCAAACAGGAUUAGAUACCUCGUAGUCCUAGCCCUCAUACGAUGGAUGCUUGGUGUUGCCGGUACUCCAAUCCGGCAGUGCCGUAGCUAACGCUUUAAGCAUCCCGCCUGGGGAGUACGGUCGCAAGGCUGAAACUCAAAGGAAUUGACGGGGGCCCGCACAAGCGGUGGAGCAUGUGGUUCAAUUCGACGCAACGCGAAGAACCUUACCUGGGCUCGAAAUGUAGUGGAAUACGGUGGAAACAUCGUAGGCUCGCAAGAGACUGCUAUAUAGGUGCUGCAUGGCUGUCGUCAGCUCGUGUCGUGAGAUGUUGGGUUAAGUCCCGCAACGAGCGCAACCCUUAUUGCCAGUUGCCAUCGGGUCAAGCCGGGCACUCUGGCGAAACUGCCUCGGAUAACGGGGAGGAAGGUGGGGAUGACGUCAAGUCCUCAUGGCCUUUAUGUCCAGGGCUACACACGUGCUACAAUGGUCGGUACAAACCGUUGCAAACCCGCGAGGGGGAGCUAAUCGGAAAAAGCCGGCCUCAGUUCGGAUUGGAGUCUGCAACUCGACUCCAUGAAGCUGGAAUCGCUAGUAAUCGCAGAUCAGAACGCUGCGGUGAAUACGUUCCCGGGCCUUGUACACACCGCCCGUCACAUCACGAAAGUGGGCUGCACUAGAAGCCGGUGUGCCAACCGCAAGGAGGCGGCCGUCCAAGGUAUGGCUCAUGAUUGGGGUGAAGUCGUAACAAGGUAGCCGUAGGAGAACUUGCGGCUGGAUCACCUCCU